AGAGUUUGAUCCUGGCUCAGAUUGAACGCUGGCGGCAGGCCUAACACAUGCAAGUCGAACGGUAACAGGAAUCAGCUUGCUGAUUUGCUGACGAGUGGCGGACGGGUGAGUAAUGUCUGGGAAACUGCCUGAUGGAGGGGGAUAACUACUGGAAACGGUAGCUAAUACCGCAUAAUGUCGCAAGACCAAAGAGGGGGACCUUCGGGCCUCUUGCCAUCGGAUGUGCCCAGAUGGGAUUAGCCAGUAGGUGGGGUAAAGGCUCACCUAGGCGACGAUCCCUAGCUGGUCUGAGAGGAUGACCAGCCACACUGGAACUGAGACACGGUCCAGACUCCUACGGGAGGCAGCAGUGGGGAAUAUUGCACAAUGGGCGCAAGCCUGAUGCAGCCAUGCCGCGUGUAUGAAGAAGGCCUUCGGGUUGUAAAGUACUUUCAGCGGGGAGGAAGGGAGUAAAGUUAAUACCUUUGCUCAUCGACGUUACCCGCAGAAGAAGCACCGG
Molecule: ribosomal RNA, 499 nt
Filed under: uncultured bacterium
Lineage: Bacteria
Description: bacterial SSU rRNA
Rfam family: Bacterial small subunit ribosomal RNA
Source: RNAcentral